CGACCCCAGGUCAGGCGGGGCUACCCGCUGAGUUUAAGCAUAUCAAUAU
This 49-nucleotide ribosomal RNA is filed under the name Opuntia hystricina. Its description in RNAcentral is "partial 26S ribosomal RNA". The record is from RNAcentral. Lineage: Eukaryota; Viridiplantae; Streptophyta; Magnoliopsida; Caryophyllales; Cactaceae.